GGUGGAGGGAAGCUCAUCAGUGGGCCACGUGCUGAGUGUAUCACAUCACUUCCACCCUGUCCGUUGGGGAGAUCUGAAACUAGGGCCACCAAGAACAGCCCUGACAGGAUCUCUCCCUGAACCUAGUUCCCAGACAGCACGGCUCUGCAUGAGGACGCCCCAGGCAGAAGAUGCUGGCAGGAGCGUGGAACAGACUCACAGCCAGCCAAGUGAGUUCAGUGGCUGAAGUGAGGAACCUUAUGGGCCUCAUAACCCAUGCAGACUCCUCUCCUCAUUAUC
This 279-nucleotide RNase P RNA is filed under the name Jaculus jaculus (lesser Egyptian jerboa). Its description in RNAcentral is "Nuclear RNase P (ENSJJAG00000007034.1)". It matches the Rfam family "Nuclear RNase P". From Rfam's summary of the family: Ribonuclease P (RNase P) is a ubiquitous endoribonuclease, found in archaea, bacteria and eukarya as well as chloroplasts and mitochondria. Its best characterised activity is the generation of mature 5'-ends of tRNAs by cleaving the 5'-leader elements of precursor-tRNAs. Lineage: Eukaryota; Metazoa; Chordata; Mammalia; Rodentia; Dipodidae. The record is from Rfam by way of RNAcentral.